GACGGAGGGCGCAAGCGUUGUUCGGAAUUACUGGGCGUAAAGCGCGGGCAGGCGGCCUGUUAAGUCUCCUGUGAAACUCCGGGGCUCAACUCCGGAAUUGCAGAAGAUACUGGCAGGCUAGAGAACGGUAGAGGCGAGUGGAAUUCCUGGUGUAGCGGUGGAAUGCGUAGAUAUCAGGAAGAACACCUGUGGCGAAGGCGACUCGCUGGGCCGUUUCUGACGCUCAUCCGCGAAAGCGUGGGGAGCAAACAGG
Molecule: unclassified non-coding RNA, 253 nt
Filed under: uncultured Gemmatimonadota bacterium
Lineage: Bacteria; Pseudomonadati; Gemmatimonadota
Description: uncultured Gemmatimonadetes bacterium contains 16S-23S intergenic spacer region
Rfam family: Bacterial small subunit ribosomal RNA
Source: RNAcentral